Molecule: ribosomal RNA, 433 nt
Filed under: uncultured bacterium
Lineage: Bacteria
Description: partial 16S ribosomal RNA
Rfam family: Bacterial small subunit ribosomal RNA
Source: RNAcentral
AACGAACGCUGGCGGCAUGCCUAACACAUGCAAGUCGAACGAGACCUUCGGGUCUAGUGGCGCACGGGUGCGUAACGCGUGGGAACCUGCCCUUAGGUUCGGAAUAACUCCCCGAAAGGGGUGCUAAUACAGGAUAAUGUCUUCGGACCAAAGAUUUAUCGCCUUUGGAUGGGCCCGCGUUGGUUUAGCGAGUUGGUAGGGUAAAAGCCUACCAAGGCGACGAUCCAUAGCUGGUCUGAGAGGAUGAUCAGCCACACUGGGACUGAGACACGGCCCAGACUCCUACGGGAGGCAGGAGUGGGGAAUAUUGGACAAUGGGCGAAAGCCUGGUCCAGCAAUGCCGCGUGAGUGAGGAAGGCCUUAGGGUUGUAAAGCUCUUUUACCCGGGAUGAUAAUGACAGUACCGGGAGAAUAAGCUCCGGCUAACUCCGUG